UGGGGAAUAUUGCGCAAUGGGCGAAAGCCUGACGCAGCGACGCCGCGUGAGGGAUGACGGCCUUCGGUUGUGAAACCUCUUUCAGCAGGGACGAAGCGAAAGUGACGGAUACCUGCAGAAGAAGCACCGGCCAACUACGUGCCAGCAGCCGCGGUAAUACGUAGGGUGCAAGCGUUGUCCGGAAUUAUUGGGCGUAAAGAGCUCGUAGGCGGUCUGUCGCGUCGGCUGUGAAAACCCGGGGCUCAACCCCGGGCCUGCAGUCGAUACGGGCAGACUAGAGUGCGGUAGGGGAGACUGGAAUUCCUGGUGUAGCGGUGAAAUGCGCAGAUAUCAGGAGGAACACCGGUGGCGAAGGCGGGUCUUC
RNAcentral lists this ribosomal RNA (364 nucleotides) under uncultured Frankineae bacterium. Its description in RNAcentral is "bacterial SSU rRNA". It matches the Rfam family "Bacterial small subunit ribosomal RNA", at positions 355 to 730 of the family's 1533-position model. The record is from RNAcentral. Lineage: Bacteria; Bacillati; Actinomycetota; Actinomycetes; Frankiales.